This 377-nucleotide ribosomal RNA is filed under the name uncultured bacterium. Its description in RNAcentral is "bacterial SSU rRNA". It matches the Rfam family "Bacterial small subunit ribosomal RNA", at positions 523 to 898 of the family's 1533-position model. The record is from RNAcentral.
AAACGUAGGAUGCGAGCGUUAUCCGGAUUUACUGGGCGUAAAGCGCGUGUAGGCGGUUCGGUAAGUUGGAUGUGAAAGCUCCCGGCUUAACUGGGAGAGGUCGUUCAAUACUGCCGAGCUAGAGGAUGGUAGAGGGAGGUGGAAUUCCGAGUGUAGUGGUGAAAUGCGUAGAUAUUCGGAGGAACACCAGUGGCGAAAGCGGCCUCCUGGACCAUUUCUGACGCUCAGACGCGAAAGCUAGGGUAGCAAACGGGAUUAGAGACCCCGGUAGUCCUAGCCGUAAACGAUGUAGACUUGGCGUCGGCGGGUUUAAAUCCGUCGGUGUCGAAGCUAACGCGAUAAGUCUACCGCCUGGGGACUACGGCCGCAAGGUUAAA